Molecule: ribosomal RNA, 254 nt
Filed under: uncultured prokaryote
Description: partial 16S ribosomal RNA
Rfam family: Bacterial small subunit ribosomal RNA
Source: RNAcentral
UACGGAGGAUGCGAGCGUUAUCCGGAUUUAUUGGGUUUAAAGGGUGCGUAGGCUGGUAAUUAAGUCAGUGGUGAAAUACUCCGGCUCAACCGGGGGGCUGCCGUUGAUACUGGUUACCUUGAGUUUAGAUGAUGUGGGCGGAAUGUGUCAUGUAGCGGUGAAAUGCAUAGAGAUGACACAGAACACCGAUAGCGAAGGCAGCUCACAAAGCUAUUACUGACGCUGAUGCACGAAAGCGUGGGGAUCAAACAGGA